CCCUUAGAUGUCCUGGGCCGCACGCGUGUUACACUGACGCCUACAGCGAGUACUUCCCAGCCCCGAGAGGUGGCUGGUAAUCAGCAAUAGGCGUCGUGAUGGGGAUAGAUCUUUGGAAUUAUGGAUCUUGAACGAGGAAUGCCUAGUAAGCGCAGGUCAUUAGCCUGCGUUGAUUAAGUCCCUGCCCUUUGUACACACCGCCCGUCGCUCCUACCGAUUUCGAGUGGUCCGGUGAAUCUUUCGGACUGCGCGCGGCUUCGUGCCGUGUCGCGGAAAGUCAGGUAAACCUUAUCACUUAGAGGAAGGAGAAGUCGUAACA
This 319-nucleotide ribosomal RNA is filed under the name uncultured eukaryote. Its description in RNAcentral is "partial 18S ribosomal RNA". It matches the Rfam family "Eukaryotic small subunit ribosomal RNA", at positions 1470 to 1796 of the family's 1831-position model. The record is from RNAcentral.